UGCCAGCAGCCGCGGUAAUACGUAGGUGGCAAACGUUGUUCGGAAUCACUGGGCAUAAAGAGUUUGUAGGCGGUGAAGUAAGUCAGGUGUGAAAUCCCAGGGCUCAACCCUGGAAUGGCACUUGAUACUGCUUGACUAGAAUAAUGGAGAGGUAAGUAGAAUUCAUGGUGUAGCGGUGAAAUGCGUUGAUAUCAUGGAGAAUACCAAUGGCGAAGGCAGCUUACUGGCCACUUAUUGACGCUGAGAAACGAAAGCUAGGGUAGCGAAAGGGAUUAGAUA
Molecule: ribosomal RNA, 279 nt
Filed under: uncultured bacterium
Lineage: Bacteria
Description: partial 16S ribosomal RNA
Rfam family: Bacterial small subunit ribosomal RNA
Source: RNAcentral